This 230-nucleotide ribosomal RNA is filed under the name uncultured bacterium. Its description in RNAcentral is "partial 16S ribosomal RNA". It matches the Rfam family "Bacterial small subunit ribosomal RNA", at positions 118 to 346 of the family's 1533-position model. The record is from RNAcentral.
UGAGGAACAUGACCUUCGGCGGGGGAUAGCCGGCCCAACGGCCGGGUAAUACCGCGUACGACCACUUUGGGACAUCCCUCGGUGGUGAAAGCAGCAAUGCGCCGAUGGAGUGCCUCGCGGCCUAUCAGCUAGUUGGUGAGGUAACGGCUCACCAAGGCAUCGACGGGUAGCUGGUCUGAGAGGAUGAUUAGCCACACUGGACUGAGACACCGGCCCAGACUCCGUAGGGA